GACGAACCGGGCGAACGUUGUUCGGAAUCACUGGGCUUAAAGGGCGCGUAGGCGGGCUGCCGCGUCCGGGGUGAAAUCCGUCCGGCUCAACCGGGGAAGGGCCUCGGGUACGGGCGGCCUCGAGGGGGUAGGGGCGUGCGGAACUGUGGGUGGAGCGGUGAAAUGCGUAGAUAUCAGGAGGACACCGGUGGUGUAGACGGCUCUCUGGACCGUAACUGACGCUGAGACACGAAAGCGUGGGUAGCAAACAGGAUUAGAU
RNAcentral lists this ribosomal RNA (259 nucleotides) under uncultured bacterium. RNAcentral describes it as "partial 16S ribosomal RNA". It matches the Rfam family "Bacterial small subunit ribosomal RNA", at positions 524 to 783 of the family's 1533-position model. The record is from RNAcentral.